Molecule: ribosomal RNA, 647 nt
Filed under: uncultured bacterium
Lineage: Bacteria
Description: bacterial SSU rRNA
Rfam family: Bacterial small subunit ribosomal RNA
Source: RNAcentral
AGAGUUUGAUCAUGGCUCAGAUUGAACGCUGGCGGCAUGCUUUACACAUGCAAGUCGAACGGCAGCGGGGGCUUCGGCCUGCCGGCGAGUGGCGAACGGGUGAGUAAUGCAUCGGAACGUGCCCAUGUUGUGGGGGAUAACUACGCGAAAGCGUAGCUAAUACCGCAUAAGCCCUGAGGGGGAAAGCGGGGGAUUCUUCGGAACCUCGUGCGAUUGGAGCGGCCGAUGUCGGAUUAGCUAGUAGGUGAGGUAAAGGCUCACCUAGGCGACGAUCCGUAGCGGGUCUGAGAGGAUGAUCCGCCACACUGGGACUGAGACACGGCCCAGACUCCUACGGGAGGCAGCAGUGGGGAAUUUUGGACAAUGGGCGCAAGCCUGAUCCAGCCAUGCCGCGUGAGUGAAGAAGGCCUUCGGGUUGUAAAGCUCUUUCGGCCGGGAAGAAAUCGUGUUCUCUAACAUAGGACAUGGAUGACGGUACCGGACUAAGAAGCACCGGCUAACUACGUGCCAGCAGCCGCGGUAAUACGUGGGGUGCGAGCGUUAAUCGGAAUUACUGGGCGUAAAGCGUGCGCAGGCGGUUUUGUAAGACAGAUGUGAAAUCCCCGGGCUUAACCUGNGAACUGCGUUUGUGACUGCAAGGCUCGAGU